RNAcentral lists this ribosomal RNA (253 nucleotides) under uncultured bacterium. Its description in RNAcentral is "partial 16S ribosomal RNA". It matches the Rfam family "Bacterial small subunit ribosomal RNA", at positions 524 to 776 of the family's 1533-position model. The record is from RNAcentral.
GACAGAGGGUGCAAGCGUUGUUCGGAAUUAUUGGGCGUAAAGCGCGCGUAGGCGGCCAAGUAAGUCACAUGUGAAAGCCCAGGGCUCAACCCUGGAAGUGCAUGUGAUACUGCUCGGCUCGAGUCUUGGAGAGGGUGGUGGAAUUCCUGGUGUAGAGGUGAAAUUCGUAGAUAUCAGGAGGAACACCGGUGGCGAAGGCGACCGCCUGGACAAGUACUGACGCUGAGGUGCGAAAGCGUGGGGAGCAAACAGG